AGCAGCCGCGGUAAUUCCAGCUCCAAUAGCGUAUAUUAAAGUUGUUGCAGUUAAAAAGCUCGUAGUUGAAUUUCGGGGUUCUACCGUUGGUCGGGCUUUGUCUGUACUGGCGUGUAGAAUUUCUACCUUCUGGGGAACCAUUAUGUUAUUAAUUUAGCGUAGUGGGAAACCAGGACCUUUACCUUGAAAAAAUUAGAGUGUUCAAAGCAGGCUUAUUCUGAAUACAUUAGCAUGGAAUAAUAGAAUAGGACGGUGGUCCUGUUUUGUUGGUUUCUGAAUCACCGUAAUGAUUAAUAGGGAUAGUUGGGGGCAUUAGUAUUCAAUUGUCAGAGGUGAAAUUCUUGGAUUUA
RNAcentral lists this ribosomal RNA (350 nucleotides) under uncultured Racocetra. Its description in RNAcentral is "SSU rRNA". It matches the Rfam family "Eukaryotic small subunit ribosomal RNA", at positions 569 to 928 of the family's 1831-position model. Lineage: Eukaryota; Fungi; Glomeromycota; Glomeromycetes; Diversisporales; Gigasporaceae. The record is from RNAcentral.